Daphnia pulicaria is the source of this 623-nucleotide long non-coding RNA. RefSeq lists it as uncharacterized. The record is from RefSeq and is a predicted model, not a curated record. Lineage: Eukaryota; Metazoa; Arthropoda; Branchiopoda; Diplostraca; Daphniidae. The transcript has 4 exons.
UGUGAAAAAAAAAAUCGAUAUCAAAAAUCACUUUGGCAGAACAAACAUCACAUCAGCAUUGGAAAUGUAAUCCACUACAGUCGAAGCUGUUGCUUCGUGUCCAAUCUUAUCGAUCCGACAAAUAAAUAAAAAAUGAACGAGAUUGGUUUCGUCGGAAAGAGGCACGCCAUUCUCGAUGGUACUACCAUUAAGGCUGAGAUUUCCCAUUCUCAUAAUGUAGGUGUUUUUUUUUUAUUUUUUACAAAAAUGUUAUCUAACUUAAAUCGUAUAUUUUUUUUUUUUUUUUUACUACCUGUAUGGAUCUUGGAGCUCAUCGAUCACGAAGUUAAGAAUGCCAAAGACAAUUUGCCAAUAUUAAGGGGUGCGUCUUCCAAAUAAGGAGUGAAGUAACUCAAAACGAAACCUGCAAAAAGCUCAGCCAAGCCAAGAACGAUGACGAUGAAUAACGCCAUUAAUUUAGCCACCGUGAAAACGUUCUGGACACGCAUGGCUCCCCGUACACUGGCGCAGCUAAUACCGGUCAAAAGGCCUUUGAGACAACAGGCAGCAAGGAGACGAACUGCCGUGUAAGGUACGGGACAGUCACCGAAGAUGGGUUGUAGCAUGUACGUGGCGAAAGUGAG